CUGGUCUGUGAUGAACAGUUACCGCCCCAGUCUGAGUUUUAAUGAAUGACUGGUAUGUUCUGAGACCAG
Protopterus annectens (West African lungfish) is the source of this 69-nucleotide small nucleolar RNA. Lineage: Eukaryota; Metazoa; Chordata; Ceratodontiformes; Protopteridae. The record is from RefSeq and is a predicted model, not a curated record.